AUUGAACGCUGGCGGCAGGCCUAACACAUGCAAGUCGAACGGUAACAGAAAGCAGCUUGCUGCUUUGCUGAUGAGUGGCGGACGGGUGAGUAAUGUCUGGGAAACUGCCUGAUGGAGGGGGAUAACUACUGGAAACGGUAGCUAAUACCGCAUAACGUCGCAAGACCAAAGAGGGGGACCUUCGGGCCUCUUGCCAUCGGAUGUGCCCAGAUGGGAUUAGCUAGUAGGUGGGGUAACGGCUCACCUAGGCGACGAUCCCUAACUGGUCUGAGAGGAUGACCAGCCACACUGGAACUGAGACACGGUCCAGACUCCUACGGGAGGCAGCAGUGGGGAAUAUUGCACAAUGGGCGCAAGCCUGAUGCAGCCAUGCCGCGUGUAUGAAGAAGGCCUUCGGGUUGUAAAGUACUUUCAGCGGGGAGGAAGGGAGUAAAGUUAAUACCUUUGCUCAUUGACGUUACCCGCAGAAGAAGCACCGGCUAACUCCGUG
Molecule: ribosomal RNA, 490 nt
Filed under: uncultured bacterium
Lineage: Bacteria
Description: partial 16S ribosomal RNA
Rfam family: Bacterial small subunit ribosomal RNA
Source: RNAcentral